CUAAAACAUUGGACUCAUUCCUAUUUCUUUCGUCUUUCUAAGGCUGUGGCCCCUGCCUGGAAUGCCCUCCCUUGCCAGUGCUUAGUCAUGCCCCCCAGAGUUCCGAGUUAACUUCUUGUGUGUACAGCUUUUGCCUUCCCAGCUCAUACUCAGUGCUGGGCUGGUCCUGCAAUCUGCGUUCUUGGUUUUGAAGAGCUUCUUUAUUAGACUUACACUGUUUUUAAAGCUUCGUUAUUUGACCCUGUGGCAGAAAACUAUGGAAUCCAAGCUGUGGACCCUUUAUUCAGCCACUGUGUACCAGGAACAUGCUUACCCUAUCAGGCACACGUUCUGCCUCCAAGAAGCUGGAAGUGGGGCCACCGGGAUGGUGUUUGCCCUUCCCUGCCCUGCUGCACGUGGUAGAAACAGAAGCGUGUCAGUACAGCUGAGCCCUCCUGAUCCCUCUUGGCUGCACAGACCCGGCUCCACUUCUGUCCUUCUUUUACUGGAGAACUGAUGUCAGCCCGGCUGGAUUACAGCCCGGCGACCGUUCUGUUGCUAAUGAAUUGGCAGGGAGAACAAAACACUGCAGCGCUCCUGGAACGAUUUUGUCAUCCAUUUUUGGAGCACAAAAAACUUCGGGAUUUGGAAAAGAACAAAUGUCAUCUGAGUUGGUUUAUUUGCCUCAGGAUGUCAGGAUCCCCAGUUCACCACACCCUGAAUGUUUAUCUGAUUACAAGAACUCAUGCAAAUGACAAAAGGUUAAAGGGAAAAACUCCACCCUUGCAGCAUUUCCCUACAUGUUUCCCGCCCUCCAGGAUUGGCCGGCCGGCCUGGCUCAGGAAAAUUCUUAUAUUUACAGUCUUGUGAAUAGAGGGGCUAGGCUUGGCAGCUUCAAAAGGCUGAGGGAAUCUUGCAAAGUUGAGCUUGAAAGAGCCCUCAAGGAGCAUUAAGGCCCACAUUCUCCACUGAAGAUGAGAAACUAAAGCCAGAGAGAUGGCCUGGUGUUAUGGUUGAAUUGUGUCUCCCCAAAAUUCAUUUAUUGACAUCCUAAUGCCCAAAAUCUCAGAAUGUAACCUUAUUUGAAGACAGGGUCUUUACAAGGUAUAAGUUCAAGUUAGGUUAUCGGGGUGCGUCCUAAUUCAGUAUGACUGGCGUCCUUAGAAGAAGGAGAAAUAUGGACAGAGAGACACAUAUACAGGAAGAAUGCCAUGUGAACACGAAGACGGCCAUCUAAAGCCAAGGAGAGAGGCUGGGAACAGAGCCUCCCCUCACAGCUCUCAGAAGGAAACAGCCCUGCUAACAGUUUGAUUUCGGACUUCUCGUUUCCAGAACGGUGAGACAAUACAUUUCUGUUGUUUAAGCUCAGUUUGUGCUACUUUGUUGCAGCAGCCCUAGCAAACUAUUCCACCUGGAAUCUCGGUUCUAGAAUGGCCCAGCCAGUUGGUCUCCUGACUCCCGUGACUAAUACUCCUUGAAUCGCAUUGCCCCCUAGACUUGAGAUAGACUGUGAAAUUACUAUUUACGGAAAACGCGAGUACUUUUCAAGAGGGACAAUUGGUCUACGAAUUUGAAGAGCGGCGUCUCUGAUCUUCCAUGCUGGGAUCUGGGCGUGUAAACAGAGGCAGGAAGAUGCUGCCCGUCUACCCCCAUCUUAUUCAGUUUUAAAAGCUGCCACCGUUUAACUCACUUCCUCAGAGCCCCCAGGAAAUAGGCAUUCUCUUUUUAUACGAUUGCCUCAUUUUUAGUACUUAUUUCAAUUUCUCUAAGAAAUUCCCUGGGCAUUCUCUUUUUGUGAGGACAUUCUCUGUUUAGUAGCUAUCAUCUUCUAUUACGUCCAAAGUUGUGUUCCUUAUUUAUCAUUAAUGGUGCCUUUGGUUUCUAUCAAUUUAAUAUUAUGAAUGGGCUUGAAUUUAAUUUUUUUCUCUGUUUUUUGGCUGAGGAAGAUUAACCUUGAGCUAACAUCUGUGCCAAUCUUCCUUUAUUUUGUAUGUGGGACGCCACUACAGUGUGGCUGAUGAGUGGUGUAGGUCCGUACCCAGGACCGGAACCCGUAAAGCUGGGCCACAGAUGUGGAGCGCACUGAACUUAACCUCUAGACCAAGGAGUCAGCCCCCAUUGAAUUUCAUUUUUAUGCAGAUAAACCAUGGCACCGUAUUAGUGGAGAAACAUAUUUGAGGAAUGGAGUGAUAUGGAUAAUUUGCAAUAACUUUUCACACCGGAGUGAAAUUCUGACCUCAAGUUAAAACAAUAUCAACAACAACAAAAAAUAGCCUUCACUAUUAAGGCAGGUGCUUUUCCAAAGUGAGGUCCCCUAAAGGGGGCAUUAGGAGAUCAGGGGACUGACUGAGAACAUGAGAAGGCUCUGUUCUCCUUCAUGGCUCAGUGCUGAGGGAGGGGCAGAUAUAGAAAAGCAUUUGGACUAUCUAGGGAAAGCUUAGGGACAUCCCACAGAAAUUCCGGUGGACAGGUGAAGAGCCUGAGGACAGGCACUGAGCAGGAGUGGUGAUUAGCCAGCUGGCCCCAGAAGAACAUUCUCUGAGAAAUCUGUGCCUCUGCUGCCACCUGGAACCAUGUCAAUCAGACCGGCCUAUGCUGCCAGGGACUGACCACUACACUGGCUUUAUGAUGUGGCUUACAUAAACCCCUGUGUCACAGAAAGGGUGUAUCCAUGUGGGUUUAUGAUCAGUGGCUCCUAGAGUUUAGGAUUUCAUGACCCUUCCCCCAAUAAAAGAGGGGCACUGACAAAUGGUUGGUAGCUUUUAAUUCUGUCAAAUAAUAAUAGUAUAUAAAAAAUAGUACCCACAUUAUUUCAUAAAAAUAUGAAUAUUUUAACAAUUUUUUAAAUUAAAAAGACAAAUCCUAAGAACAAUGACAGUCUUUCCAUCAAAUGACAUUUGGUGAUCCUGAAAUGACAUUUUUUUUUGAAAAAAGGAUAUAUUUGUAAGUUUUUUCAAAUGGAAAAAUCACAACAUAAUGUUUUAUUUAUCACUGCCGCCUCUGGUACAGUUCCUGCUACUUGAGCCUGGACCCUGUCCCUGUGGUCCUGGGCUCUGUGGGGAGUUCUCUUAGCAACCCCAGCACCCUCACUGCUUCAGGGGACGGUGUCAGGGACGAUAGGGAGUCCCUGCCCUAAGAUGCAUCCCCUCCUUUUUGUAGCUCCCUUGUUUCUACCAAAACAGAUGCCCUUCCCCAAAGAGUCUUUGUAUCUCUUUACAGAGUGAAGAAUUAAAACUCGUUAUUACUUCCUGAUAGCUCCUUAAAAUGCUUUGUUAGCCGGUAUAAAUUAUCAAAAGGAUAUGUCAUCCCCCGCUACAAAGGUGAUGCCCCUCCUGUCUUCUGUUGGGUUCUCCCAGAAGCAGGUUCUGAGACAAGCCCAUUCUGAAUGCAAAUAGGUUAUUCAGAAGGGGAUCUCACUAGAGGAAUGGGGAUGUGAGACAGGGAAGGAAAGGCAGCCCACAGAGAGGAAGGAUUAAUGAGCCCAUUAUCACUGGGGCAGCUGGGAGACCCCUGGGAAACUGCAGAGUACCCCUUAGAGUGUUGUACCAUAAUUCCCAUCUGUUACUGGUUGAAUUCUGCUCCUGAGGGCAUGGAUUUCCCAGCACUUGCCACCUGCCCUGUGCUCAAGCCACGUGAGCUCCCACAGCCAGAGCCAGUCUUCAGGCAGAGUCACAGACGCCAUCUGCUUUUAUAACAGGGAGUGCUAGCGGAUGUAGGUGGGGCACCCAAGGCAUCACUAUACCCACUUUUGCAACCUUUGAACUCUUGAGACGAAUACACAAGUUGUAUCACUGGUCAUAUCUCUGACACUGACUGAAUACAGGGUCAUAUCACUGACUCUGACUUUCGAUAUAGAAAGUAGGAAGUUCUAUGACUCACUUUUGCCCUUAAAGGAAAAAGAAAAAGACCUUCUUCCGCAAAGAGCUGCAGCCCACUUUUCCAUGAGUCGCCAGACCAUCCCCAAUAAUCCUCGUCUCACACCCAUAGGGGAGACCACUGAUAGACAUCACGGUGAUAAAAUGCAUACGUUCAGGACAAAAAUCUCUCACCACUACCACAGGACUUUAACUAACAAUGAUCUAGACCAGAGAUGGCAAACUGAUUCCUCCCGUGUGCCGACUCUGAUCAGUCAAUUGUACUGUGUUGAGAAGAAUUCUGAAGCGUGGGGAGAAAGAGAGGGUUGGGUAUGGAUUAGAGCAGUUAGGUACCAAUCCAUAAGAGGGGCCAAAAAAAAAAAAAGAAGAAGAAAUCACUGGAAAACUUCAAAACUCCAAACAUAAUGAGGUGGAGAAAUCUGUAUUUUCAAGAUCCGUUCAGGAACAUACUACAUGUGUAUAUAUAUACGAUUGGAAGGAAUAUUUUUAUAAGGUCCUCGGGAGUAGCGGAUGAGGAACACAAUGAAACUGCAGCAUGCUCUAGUCACAUCUUCGGUCUGUCUGUUGUGGGUAGGGCGGACAGUCUAGGUUCUACUGUCAACAUAGAAGGUAAAAACCACUGUAGGCAAAAUUACAUUUAAAAGUCUCUUAAAAUGUCCUAAUGUCUCUAGUAUCUGGGCUCUCAGAAGCUGAAAAGCCGGGAUAGUUAAAUCCCCAAGUGCACAUAUGUUGCAACUCUACUGUAAUAAUAGGUGGUCACCAACCAGCCUUCUCAGGUGGCCACAGGGGCAGGUCUGGUCGGCUGUAGGCCCUUUAUUUUUCCGAGUGGAUUGUGUGAAAUGGUGGCUGCCUGUAGCUGCCCUCCUUACUCUCCCCACGCCUACUGCUCUGCUCUCCUUCUCAUGUUAAAUAUUCACAAAGUGAAAGUUAGGUUUCUACCUCACACAAUACAUGAAAGCCAAUUUCAGACAGAUUAAUGAGCUAAAUGUAAAAGACCAAAAUCAUUUUGAAAACUUAGAUCAAAUGAAAAGUUUGAUAAUAUCUAGAGUUGGCAAGGAUGUGCAGUCACAGGUUUAAUUUUAUCAGAGGGCUAUUGCUACUAAAACUGUCACUUCAUUUCUGGUUAUCUAUCCUGUAAGCAUACUCAUAUAGUGAACUAAGAUAGCCGUACAAGGUUAUUCAUUGCAGCAUUGUUUACAAUAGUGAAAAACUGGAAAUAACCAAAAUACUCCUCAAAGAAAAAGGGCUGCAUAAAUUAAGAUACAUCCUUAUAGAGUGAUACACAGCUUUUGAAAAGAAUAAGGUAAGGGCUGGCCUGGUGGUGUAGCGGUUAAGUUUGUGGUGCUCUGCUUCUGUGGCUAGGGGUUCCCUGGGUUGGAUCCUGGGUGUGGACCUACCCACCACUCAUCAAGCCAUGCUGUGGCAGCAUCCCACAGAGAAGAACUAGAAGACUUACAAGUAGGAUAUACAGUAUGUACUGGGGCUUCAGGGAGGGAAAAAAAAAAGGAAGAUUGGCAACAGAUGUUAGCUCAGGGCCAAUCUUCCUCACCAAAAAAAAAAAGGCAUAUCUUUAAAAAACAAACAAAAGAAUAAGGUAAAUUUAUACAUAUUGACAUGGAAAUAGAUACGUCACAACUUAUUUGAAUUCAAUUUUUUCAUUUGUAAGAUGGGGAGGUUGAACUAAAGAUCCUCGAAGAUUUCUUUUAACUUCGUUCUACGAAAAGAGAAGUCUGUCACAUAGCUCAGGGAUUUUGUGCUCUUAAAAAAUACAAUUUUCCUUUUUCAUUGUUUCUCUUGGGAAAAUCUAAAAUUCACAAAGCCGGCGACUCCCUCUCCACUUUUUCUCCUUUCUCAAGAUUAAAUCUGCUUUCUUUCUCAAUUUAGGUGAUCAAAACAUUUUGGAACCUAAAAGUAAAUAAGGAAACUCUGAAGGUAAAUAUGUCCAAACAGCUUUACUAAGAAAAAAACCUGAAUGUAUGGGUUUCAAAGACAAUAUACUCCAGAGCCAGCAACUAAAGGGACCACUCUCUAAACCCCUGAACAGUGCUGAUGAAAUUCCUCAACAGUGAUCUGCUCAGCUGGAAGAUCGCUGUGUUUGUGUCCGGAAAGAGAGGCCUAAGAAGUGGCUCCUCAUAAUCCAUGACUGGGGCGUCCUGGAGAAAGUUGGUUCUGAUUAGAGGGGAUUUCAAAUUUACAUGUGGCGAAAAACAAUCUCCUAGGAACUGAUAAGUGCAAAGGACUUCAUUUUAAACAAACAGGAAAGAUAAGGAAGCAGAAGUUUCAUUUCCAUUUUGACUAGACUUACACAACCACGUGAGAACCCAGAGUUCCUUUGUUGCAUAAGUGGCAAAUCUGUUUAACCUUUCUGGGCGCCCAGCUUCUCCAUAUGGAAAGCAGGUAUGGAAGUUUUGACUCAUCUUUCAGGGUCACUUUUGAACAAAAGGCGAAUAGUAGAAAAGCCUUCUGAAAACAAAAGAGAACACAUCAAUCACUGAGGGAAAACCAGGACAUGACAAUAUAAAUGAUCCGCUGCCUAAGAAAGUCCUGAAUCCAAUACAGACGAUCAUCUCAGUUCUUUUUUACGGCCAGAGAGGCCUCUGAAGCUCAUUAGUGUCUGGAAUUACUUCAUACACUGGGCUGGAAAUUUCAAAGGAAAAUUUCAAGAAAUUUUAAAGGAACCUUCCAAAUCCACUAGCUGGUUUGCUCUUUGCUGGAUGUUAACUGGACCAUUUACUUUUUAAAAUCAGGCUAAAUUUUGCCCUGGCUGAGCCAAAUUCUGCCUCUAUCGCUGGGCAAUUCUUGCUGUCGUGAAUGUAGCUCUGUGUGUGGACGGGAGAAGAGAAUAUGGCCAUUGUCCUACUAGAUGCAAAUUAUGGCCCUGAUUCAACAAAAAAAUCUCUGUCCUCCAUGCAUGGAAAAUACAAAGAGACUGAAGCCAGACUGAUAUUUUGUGACAUGGCAUCCUGCUCCUGAAGAAAUUCAUGUUGUGGUUUGUGAUUAGGAAGCCAAAAAAAAAAGAGAUUCUGAAACUGACAUGAUUUGUAAUUUUUCUCAGUUUCAAGGCCCGUGCUAAUGAUAAAAACCUCUAUUAAAAUUACUCAGAGAGCAUAAACUGAUGGCUUUUUGAGAGAGAGAAAAGAUUUUGAAAGAAGAAAUUUUUAUUUGUAUUACGUGGCUGUACAUGACAAAGUUGAUGCUUCAUUCCAUCAUUCUCUCUGGACCUUGGGGAAACCAAUACCCAAUAAAAAGCAGUAUCAAUAAUAAAAGUAAUUUCAUAAUAAUCUGUAGUCAAUGACGAUUCUUUCAUUGAAGGUUUAGAUGACUCAGUUAAAGUGUUGGUGGACCAAUGUAGAUGGCACCUUUCAAAUUAAUAAAAUAUAUUUGAUCUCUACCUACUUCUAUUAGCAUAAUACUUAAUCUGUUAUAGUUUUCAAUUCUUUGUACUCCUACCCUUCUCCCAACAUUUUAGUGGCAGUGAGUAACAAAACAACAUUUUGUUAUGU
This is a long non-coding RNA of Equus asinus (donkey), 7357 nucleotides long. The record is from Ensembl. NCBI's taxonomy places the organism in Eukaryota, Metazoa, Chordata, Mammalia, Perissodactyla, Equidae.